CAUGGCAUGCACCAUCAUAAAGGAGUACAUGGCUGCGAUCGGUUGUGAUGACCAAUUAUUUUCCAGUCACUGAGAGUCAUCAAUCAAUGAGAAGUUCCUACUCAUAGAGGCAAGCUGGACCAUCACCAAUGCAUCAGCCUACUGGAGAGAUUCGACAUGAGCCGAAGCUGACCUGGAUAUAGCCUGUUAUCCCAGCAACAAAAGGCUGCAACCAGGUGGCUGGCCAUGAAUCCUCUGAAAAUGAAAUAUUCUCCAAAACGCUGUUCCUGGUUGAUUUGUGGUGAGCAUAUGACUGUCCUUUGCAAUGAAUAUGGGAUUGGCGGAUACUUUUGUUGGGUCAAUGAUGAGGACUUUAUAUUGCCUUGAGGAGCGGUGAUGACUUAAAUAUCACGUACAAUGGCCUGACGCUGAGGCCCAGCCUAGGAGACAGUUGUGGAAACCAACAUGGAGAAGAUGAUGAUGGUCAGCAGUAUGAUCAUGUUUGUUGCUGGAGAACUUGAAGAACGAAAGAUCAUCUUGGGGAGCUCCACCACGUGAAUAUGCUCCUCCAUAAAAUUUCCCCAUGUUAUGCCUAUACUUUAAUCCUCAUCCCAGGUCCUGGGUAUUUUAGCAGCCCUUGCUGAGCACCCCAUCUCACUUUGUGUCUUUCAGUGGAAACUUCUGAUCAGUGUGGCUACAUGACAUGCACUGUCAUAUAGCAGUGCAUGGUUGCAAUCAGCUGUCAUGACCAAUGAUUUUCCAGUCACCAAGUGUCAUCAAUCAAUGAGGGGUUCUUACUCAUGAGGCAAGCUGGACCUUCACCAAUGUGUGAAGAUUUUCUCUCAAGGCCUGUGUAAAGCUGGACAAAAAGAAGACUCGAGAUGCUCUUGGUGCGUGCUUCGAGGAGGCCCAUGUUUCUUUUCCAAAUGGAGGGAGAAUAGAGUUUUGUCCUGCUCUACAUGAAUGAGAAUCAGGAUUUUUCAUAAUAGUAAACGUAUCUGUGGCUCAUGAUGUGAAUGGCCAUAUCCUCUGCUGGGCGUCUCUCUGAGUAUUUAGGGAGCUUGGAACAGGGGCACAGAGCAAAGAGAAUCCACCAGCCUCCUGAUGAGACAGUGCACACAAGUCAAAAAUGACUGUCCAACUUUUUUGAAACCACCAUCCUUCUUGAGAACUCAAGAUGUGAGAACACACUCAUGUCAAAUUGUUGGCAAAAUUCAUCAUAACCAACUUUGCCAUGAAAACCCAUCUUUGAAACUGAGGAACACUUUCCCACCUGAGAUACCAAGGGAGGAAUGUCCAAGUUAUAUCAAAAGUACCCUGACUGGACUUGAUUCCGCUCUUGGAGGAUCUUCUGUCUCAGCCUACUGGACGAAUUCAACACGAAUAGAAGCUGACCUGGAAAUAAGCUGCUAUACCAGCAACAAAGGACUGCAACCAGGUGGCUGGCCACGAAUCCUCUAAAAGUGAAAUAUUCUCCAAAAUGUUGUUCCUUGUUGACUUGUGGUAGACAUAUGACUGUCCUUGCAACAGAUAUGGGAUUGGUGGAUACUUUUGUUGGGUCAAUGAUGAGGACUUUAUAUUGCCUUGAAGAGCGGUGAUGACUUAAAUAUCAUGUACAAUGGCAUGAUGCUGAGACCCAGCCUAGGAGAGAGUUGUCAAAAAGAACAUGGGUCCUGGGCAUUUUAGCCUCCAGGCAGAGCACCCCAUCUCACUUUUUGUCAUUCAAUGGAAACAUCUGAUCAGCGUGCUGCAUUGCAUGCACCGUCAUAGAGGAGUGCAGACUGUGAUCAGUCAUCAGGACCAAUGAUUUUCCAGUCACUGAGGGCCAUCAAUCAAUGAGGAGUUCUUACUCAUGGAGGCAAGCUGGACCUUCACCAAUGCAUGCAGUUUUUCUCUCAAGGCCUGGGUGAAACUGUACAAAAAAGAGCCUCAAGAUACUCUUUGCGUGCUGUUCGAGGAGGUCCAUGUUUAUUUUCCAAAUGGAAGGAGAACAGAGUUUUGUCUGCUCUACAGAAACGAGAGAAUCAGGCUCGUUCAAUAAUAGUAAACAUAUCUGUGGCUCACGAGUUAAUGGCCAUCUCCUUUCCUGGGCAUCUUCUGAGUACUUAGGGAGCUUGGAAUAGGGGCAAAGAGCAAAGAGAAUCUACCGGCCUCCUGGUGAGAGAGGGCACGCAAAUCAAAAAUGACUAUCCAAAUUUUUGGAAACCACCAUCUUUCUUGAGAACUCAAGAUGUAAGAAAUGCCCCAUAACCAAGAUUUGCCACAAAACCCAAUCUUUGAGACUUAGGAACACUUUCCCAUCUGAGAUACCAGAAAGCCACAUCCAAGCUAUGUCAAAAGUACCCUGUAUGGACUUGGCUCUAGUCCUAGAGGACAUUCUGUCUCAACCUACUGGAUGGAUUCCA
Molecule: long non-coding RNA, 2384 nt
Organism: Carlito syrichta (Philippine tarsier)
Lineage: Eukaryota; Metazoa; Chordata; Mammalia; Primates; Tarsiidae
Exons: 4
Source: RefSeq, a predicted model, not a curated record